AUAUAAUAUAAAGCUAGGAAUAGAAGAGGUGAUGUGGCACCUCUCUAUGGCCUCCAAUGAUAUUUAUCUUUUUUCUCCUUUUUUGACAUUUUUCUUCCAUUUUAUGUAUUUACUUGCCCAUCAAAUUCUGAUCACGAGACUCUAUGUCUCUACAUCAGUUACAAAUUGACCAUAAUGAGUAUUAAGGAAUGAGUAACGCUUUUGAGGCAUUUUGGUGAUAAAUUCCUUAAUUACAAUUAAUCAUCUUUUAACUUAAAUUCCUAAUGCUUGUAACGUAAAAAAUGAAUAAAGUUUUGCUCCUGGAAAGUCAGCAAAUUUUCAUUCUAUAUUAUAUUUAGGAUCAUCACCUAUAUAUAUGUUUGACCAUCUCAUCUUCUUAAUUUGAUAGUGAAUUUUACAUUGAUUGAUCAUCCGAUUACACUGCUAGCCGUCGGUGAGUAAUUUUUCCAUCUGAUUUGUAUCAUUCAAUAGAUUUUACUUUGUUCAUUUCUCUUUCAUUUUGCUCUAAACAAGCAUGAACUAAAAUUAUGUCCAUUGAAUUUUAUGGAGGGACAAGUGGCAAUAUUAUUUUGUUAUGGGUUUAUAGAAAGUACAGCUCUGCCUUAUAAUGAAAAGACUUAUUGUAGUUGACGUCAUUUCUCCUACCAAUUAAGAUCUAACAACCACAUAUGCAAUGCAAUAAAAAAUUCUCGUGAAAUAGACUCAAGAAAUGAAGAGUUAAAGCUCAUUUCUCUCUACCGCACGCUCUCUUAUCAGGUGAUAUUUGGUCAACUCGAGUUAGGAGCUUUUGGUACAGGUUGAUGAUAAGUAAGAAAUUAAAUUUGAUUCCGCGACAUGAUGCAUAAUUGAUUUUUUCUUUUUGUCUUUUCAUUUUGUUUCGUGCUUCCUUUAAUUUUUAGUAACUUUUGAAAUUGCUAUAUGAGAGAUAUGAAAUAUAUUAUCCUUGUAAAACAUUAGUGUCAAAUUCACAUAUGUACAAAUUGAAAAGAGUUUUUUCAUAUUAAUGCUUCUUAUUGAUUCUUU
Lycium ferocissimum is the source of this 1023-nucleotide long non-coding RNA. RefSeq lists it as uncharacterized. The record is from RefSeq and is a predicted model, not a curated record. NCBI's taxonomy places the organism in Eukaryota, Viridiplantae, Streptophyta, Magnoliopsida, Solanales, Solanaceae. The transcript is spliced from 2 exons.